GGAUGGCUUAGAAGCAGCCAUCCUUUAAAGAAAGCGUAAUAGCUCACUAGUCGAGUCGGCCUGCGCGGAAGAUAUACCGGGGCUCAAACUGAUAACCGAAGCUGUGGGUGUGUGUCUAUUUAUAGGCAUGCGCGGUAGAGGAGCGUUCUGUAAGCCGUUGAAGGUGGAUCGUAAGGUCUGCUGGAGGUAUCAGAAGUGCGAAUGCUGACAUGAGUAACGACAAGGGGAGUGAAAAACUCCCCCGCCGGAAGACCAAGGGUUCCUGCGCAAC
This 271-nucleotide ribosomal RNA is filed under the name Pseudo-nitzschia fraudulenta. Its description in RNAcentral is "partial Bacterial large subunit ribosomal RNA". It matches the Rfam family "Bacterial large subunit ribosomal RNA", at positions 1099 to 1363 of the family's 2925-position model. The record is from RNAcentral. Lineage: Eukaryota; Bacillariophyta; Bacillariophyceae; Bacillariales; Bacillariaceae.